RNAcentral lists this ribosomal RNA (433 nucleotides) under bacterium enrichment culture clone ALO1_GLFRUDD03FYR3U. RNAcentral describes it as "bacterial SSU rRNA". It matches the Rfam family "Bacterial small subunit ribosomal RNA", at positions 9 to 450 of the family's 1533-position model. The record is from RNAcentral.
GAGUUUGAUCCUGGCUCAGAUUGAACGCUGGCGGCAUGCCUUACACAUGCAAGUCGAACGGCAGCACGGGAGCUUGCUCCUGGUGGCGAGUGGCGAACGGGUGAGUAAUGCAUCGGAACGUAUCCUGGAGUGGGGGAUAACGUAGCGAAAGUUACGCUAAUACCGCAUAUUCUGUGAGCAGGAAAGCGGGGGACCUUCGGGCCUCGCGCUCUUGGAGCGGCCGAUGUCGGAUUAGCUAGUUGGUGAGGUAAAGGCUCACCAAGGCGACGAUCCGUAGCAGGUCUGAGAGGAUGAUCUGCCACACUGGAACUGAGACACGGUCCAGACUCCUACGGGAGGCAGCAGUGGGAUUUUGGACAAUGGGGGCAACCCUGAUCCAGCCAUGCCGCGUGAGUGAAGAAGGCUCGGUUGUAGACUCUUCGUCGAGGAGAAG